Lolium perenne is the source of this 418-nucleotide long non-coding RNA. RefSeq lists it as uncharacterized. Lineage: Eukaryota; Viridiplantae; Streptophyta; Magnoliopsida; Poales; Poaceae. The record is from RefSeq and is a predicted model, not a curated record.
CGAGCAGUCGAGCUAGGGCUGCGGCGGCUGGGCGGAGCGGCGCGGCGCUCGCGCGGCGGCCCCGCCUACUCGGUAGCAGCGGCGACGCGCGGUGGACCCGCGCACUCCGGCGCGGCGACUCAGAAGAAGCCGACGAAACCGCUCUUCGAGAAGAGGCCGAAGCAGUUCGGCGUCGGCGGAAGCGCUGCCACCUAAGAAGCGGCAGCAGCGGCGACGCGCGGUGGACCCGCGCACUCCGGAGCGGCGACCAAGACGAAGGCGACGAAACCGCUCUUCGACAAGAGGCAGAAGGAGUUCGGCAGCGGCGACUCAAGACGAAGGUGACGAAACCGCUGUUCGAGAAGAGGCUGCAGCGUGCUGCCGUAUAAGGAGGACCUGCAACGGUUCGUGAAGCUGCCCGAGGUUGUGGGAGGCCAAG